Molecule: long non-coding RNA, 649 nt
Organism: Culex quinquefasciatus (southern house mosquito)
Lineage: Eukaryota; Metazoa; Arthropoda; Insecta; Diptera; Culicidae
Exons: 2
Source: RefSeq, a predicted model, not a curated record
UUGACAGUGCAAGCGAAACGUCAGUCAUUUUCGUGUUGUGCAAAUCGGUGGAGGUCGAGUUUUUCACUACUAUUCUAAAAUCGCACAAAUGUACCGAUAAUCUAUGGGUUUCCUCUCAAAAUGAUUAAGCUGUUCGUGAUGGAACCACCGGAGGUGAAACAACAAUCGGCAUCGGCCACUGGUGUGAAAUAUUAAUUCCUAAAAUCCACUUCACCUUGGAGCAAACAAAUUGGCCGCCCCCGGCAAUGGAAUGCCCUGACCGGGGCAAGACCGUGACCCGCCUGAACCGGAAAAAUGAGCCGACCUCGACGUCUCCGGAUCUCACUGGACCCGAUAUUCGGAAAUCUCGGAUUAUGCUGCAGCUGAAGGAAUUCUUCGGUGGAAACAACCGCAAGUGACUACUGGAGUUCAGAUGAUGUCAGUGAUUGGCUCGUCUCGGGCGACGAACAGAAAAACGUGUAAAAAUCAAACCCGACAAGUGCAAAAGUGCAGGCUGCUAGAUUUUUCGUUGUGUUUCCAGAUUCGUUGUGUUUCCAGGUCAUUAUGGGUCAUUACGAAACAAAUGGAAACCGAAAGUGCAAAUGUUAUUAUACUGAAAAUGUGUGGUUUAUUUUUUAAAAUAAAAUAAAUGUUUAAUCAUGAUUUGCAA